UGUAGCUCAAUGGUAGAGUGCUUGACUAGCAUGUAGGAGGCCCUGGGUUCCAUUCCUAGCA
This 61-nucleotide transfer RNA is filed under the name Heterocephalus glaber (naked mole-rat). It matches the Rfam family "tRNA", at positions 6 to 65 of the family's 71-position model. From Rfam's summary of the family: Transfer RNA (tRNA) molecules are approximately 80 nucleotides in length. Their secondary structure includes four short double-helical elements and three loops (D, anti-codon, and T loops). Further hydrogen bonds mediate the characteristic L-shaped molecular structure. tRNAs have two regions of fundamental functional importance: the anti-codon, which is responsible for specific mRNA codon recognition, and the 3' end, to which the tRNAs corresponding amino acid is attached (by aminoacyl-tRNA synthetases). tRNAs cope with the degeneracy of the genetic code in two manners: having more than one tRNA (with a specific anti-codon) for a particular amino acid; and 'wobble' base-pairing, i.e. permitting non-standard base-pairing at the 3rd anti-codon position. Lineage: Eukaryota; Metazoa; Chordata; Mammalia; Rodentia; Bathyergidae. The record is from Rfam by way of RNAcentral.